This 77-nucleotide transfer-messenger RNA is filed under the name Phytophthora inundata. RNAcentral describes it as "transfer-messenger RNA Phyto_inund_IMI389". It matches the Rfam family "Mitochondrion-encoded tmRNA". The record is from RNAcentral. Lineage: Eukaryota; Oomycota; Peronosporomycetes; Peronosporales; Peronosporaceae.
UUUAAAUGGACCCAAAGGCGGUAUUUGGUAUUUCCAUUUUUUAAAUUAAUUGGGAAUAAUAUUAGAAUUGACAUUUA